GAUGAACGCUGGCGGCGUGCCUAAUACAUGCGAGUCGAGCGAACAGACGAGGAGCUUGCUCCUCUGACGUUAGCGGCGGACGGGUGAGUAACACGUGGAUAACCUACCUAUAAGACUGGGAUAACUUCGGGAAACCGGAGCUAAUACCGGAUAAUAUAUUGAACCGCAUGGUUCAAUAGUGAAAGACGGUUUUGCUGUCACUUAUAGAUGGAUCCGCGCCGCAUUAGCUAGUUGGUAAGGUAACGGCUUACCAAGGCAACGAUGCGUAGCCGACCUGAGAGGGUGAUCGGCCACACUGGAACUGAGACUCGGUCCAGACUCCUACGGGAGGCAGCAGUAGGGAAUCUUCCGCAAUGGGCGAAAGCCUGACGGAGCAACGCCGCGUGAGUGAUGAAGGUCUUCGGAUCGUAAAACUCUGUUAUUAGGGAAGAACAAAUGUGUAAGUAACUAUGCACGUCUUGACGGUACCUAAUCAGAAAGCCACGGCUAACUACGUG
This 497-nucleotide ribosomal RNA is filed under the name uncultured bacterium. RNAcentral describes it as "partial 16S ribosomal RNA". It matches the Rfam family "Bacterial small subunit ribosomal RNA", at positions 28 to 507 of the family's 1533-position model. The record is from RNAcentral.